GAUGAACGCUGGCGGCGUGCCUAAUACAUGCAAGUCGAGCGAACCACUUCGGUGGGAAGCGGCGAACGGGUGAGUAACACGUAGGUGAUCUGCCCAUCAGACGGGGACAACGAUUGGAAACGAUCGCUAAUACCGGAUAGGACGAAAGUUUAAAGAUGCUCCUGGCAUCACUGAUGGAUGAGCCUGCGGCGCAUUAGCUAGUUGGUGGGGUAAAGGCCUACCAAGGCGACGAUCAGUAGCCGGCCUGAGAGGGUGAACGGCCACAUUGGGACUGAGACACGGCCCAA
Molecule: ribosomal RNA, 287 nt
Filed under: uncultured bacterium
Lineage: Bacteria
Description: partial 16S ribosomal RNA
Rfam family: Bacterial small subunit ribosomal RNA
Source: RNAcentral